Molecule: transfer RNA, 77 nt
Filed under: Suttonella ornithocola
Lineage: Bacteria; Pseudomonadati; Pseudomonadota; Gammaproteobacteria; Cardiobacteriales; Cardiobacteriaceae
Description: tRNA-Arg(tct)
Rfam family: tRNA
About the family: Transfer RNA (tRNA) molecules are approximately 80 nucleotides in length. Their secondary structure includes four short double-helical elements and three loops (D, anti-codon, and T loops).
Source: RNAcentral
GUGCCCGUAGCUCAACUGGAUAGAGCAACGGCCUUCUAAGCCGUAGGUUGCAGGUUCGAACCCUGCCGGGUGCGCCA